AGCAGCCGCGGUAAUUCCAGCUCCAAUAGCGUAUAUUAAAGUUGUUGCAGUUAAAAAGCUCGUAGUUGAAUUUCGGGAUCAAGGAAUCGGUCAUGCCUUGGUAUGUACUGGUUUUAUUGGUUCUCACCUUCUAAAGAACCAUAAUGUCAUUUAUUUGAUGUUAUGGGGAAUUAGGACUGUUACCUUAGAAAAAAAUUAGAGUGUUUAAAGCAAGCUAAACGCUUGAAUACAUUAGCAUGGAAUAAUGAAAUAGGACGUUCGAUCCUAUUUUGUUGGUUUCUAGGAUUGACGUAAUGAUUAAUAGGGAUAGUUGGGGGCAUUAGUAUUCAAUUGUCAGAGGUGAAAUUCUUGGAUUUAUUGAAGACUAACUACUGC
Molecule: ribosomal RNA, 375 nt
Filed under: uncultured Glomus
Lineage: Eukaryota; Fungi; Glomeromycota; Glomeromycetes; Glomerales; Glomeraceae
Description: SSU rRNA
Rfam family: Eukaryotic small subunit ribosomal RNA
Source: RNAcentral